RNAcentral lists this ribosomal RNA (301 nucleotides) under uncultured bacterium. Its description in RNAcentral is "partial 16S ribosomal RNA". It matches the Rfam family "Bacterial small subunit ribosomal RNA", at positions 509 to 807 of the family's 1533-position model. The record is from RNAcentral.
CAGCAGCCGCGGUAAUACGUAGGGUGCGAGCGUUAAUCGGAAUUACUGGGCGUAAAGCGUGCGCAGGCGGUUUGUUAAGACAGAUGUGAAAUCCCCGGGCUCAACCUGGGAACUUCAUUUGUGACCGGCAGGCUAGAGUAUGGCAGAGGGGGGUGGAAUUCCGCGUGUAGCAGUGAAAUGCGUAGAUAUGCGGAGGAACACCGAUGGCGAAGGCAGCCCCCUGGGCCAAUACUGACGCUCAUGCACGAAAGCGUGGGGAGCAAACAGGAUUAGAUACCCGCGUAGUCCCUGUCUCUUAUAC